Molecule: long non-coding RNA, 460 nt
Organism: Vespula vulgaris
Lineage: Eukaryota; Metazoa; Arthropoda; Insecta; Hymenoptera; Vespidae
Exons: 3
Source: RefSeq, a predicted model, not a curated record
CGUAUAUAUAUGUACGUACAUAUAUUUCCAUACACGCGCGCAGCGCGCACACGGUUGGGAGGGGGAGUAACAAUUCGCGAACGUAACGCGAUCCAUUUCUAUUUGGCUUUGGAAAUAAAUCAAAGAUAGAUUAGAGAUACGAUUAAAUCCGUCCCUGGAUACAUUGGUAAAUUAAGAUUAUAAGCUGAUGCUAGCUUUUUAGGUACAAAUCUGCCUCCUAGAUAAUGAAACUUUCCUUUAAAUUUUAACGCGCACAUCUUUGGCGCUGUUAAGGAUAUCAACAUUUCUGGACAUAUAUCAUCUUUUACAGAUGGACCAUUUUCGACGUCCCAUCCUGAAGGAGGUUUAAAACUAAAUCCAAACACAGCAUCCACUAUGACUCUGAAUCCAUUUAAAAGCUCAACAGCAUCUUUAUCUUUUAUAAAUCCACUUUCUAAAAUAGUUAUAUCAUUUUCUUUAC